UUUUUAUGGAGAGUUUGAUCCUGGCUCAGGAUGAACGCUGGCGGCGUGCCUAAUACAUGCAAGUCGAGCGAACAGACGAGGAGCUUGCUCCUCUGACGUUAGCGGCGGACGGGUGAGUAACACGUGGAUAACCUACCUAUAAGACUGGGAUAACUUCGGGAAACCGGAGCUAAUACCGGAUAAUAUAUUGAACCGCAUGGUUCAAUAGUGAAAGACGGUUUUGCUGUCACUUAUAGAUGGAUCCGCGCCGCAUUAGCUAGUUGGUAAGGUAACGGCUUACCAAGGCAACGAUGCGUAGCCGACUGAGAGGGUGAUCGGCCACACUGGAACUGAGACAC
This 338-nucleotide ribosomal RNA is filed under the name Staphylococcus epidermidis NIHLM053. RNAcentral describes it as "bacterial SSU rRNA". It matches the Rfam family "Bacterial small subunit ribosomal RNA", at positions 1 to 327 of the family's 1533-position model. The record is from RNAcentral. Lineage: Bacteria; Bacillati; Bacillota; Bacilli; Caryophanales; Staphylococcaceae.